RNAcentral lists this ribosomal RNA (452 nucleotides) under uncultured bacterium. Its description in RNAcentral is "bacterial SSU rRNA". It matches the Rfam family "Bacterial small subunit ribosomal RNA", at positions 29 to 524 of the family's 1533-position model. The record is from RNAcentral.
AGCGAACGCUGGCGGCAGGCCUAACACAUGCAAGUCGAACGGAUCCUUCGGGAUUAGUGGCGGACGGGUGAGGAACACGUGGGAACGUGCCUUUUGGUUCGGAACAACUCAGGGGAAACUUGAGCUAAUACCGGAUGUGCCCUUCGGGGGAAAGAUUUAUCGCCAUUAGAGCGGCCCGCGUCUGAUUAGCUAGUUGGUGGGGUAAAGGCUCACCAAGGCUACGAUCAGUAGCUGGUCUGAGAGGAUGAUCAGCCACACUGGGACUGAGACACGGCCCAGACUCCUACGGGAGGCAGCAGUGGGGAAUCUUGCGCAAUGGGGCGAAAGCCUGACGCAGCCAUGCCGCGUGAAUGAUGAAGGUCUUAGGAUUGUAAAAUUCUUUUACCCGGGAUGAUAAUGACAGUACCGGGAGAAUAAGCCCCGGCUAACUCCGUGCCAGCAGCCGCGGUAAU